Molecule: ribosomal RNA, 410 nt
Filed under: uncultured bacterium
Lineage: Bacteria
Description: bacterial SSU rRNA
Rfam family: Bacterial small subunit ribosomal RNA
Source: RNAcentral
AGAGUUUGAUCCUGGCUCAGAAUGAACGCUGGCGGCGUGCCUAACACAUGCAAGUCGGAUGUGCCGCAAGGUGCAUGGCAGACGGGUGAGUAACGCGUAGGGAAUCUACCUUUUUGUGGGGAAUAACGCUCCGAAAGGAGCGGUAAUACCGCAUGAGACCGCAGACUGGGAUGUUUGUGGUGAAACCUGGGGACCGCAAGGCCUGGGGCAAGAAGAGGAUCCUGCGUCUGAUUAGCUAGUUGGCGGGGUAAUGGCCCACCAAGGCGACGAUCAGUAGCCGGCCUGAGAGGGUGAUCGGCCACACUGGAACUGAGACACGGUCCAGACUCCUACGGGAGGCAGCAGUGGGGAAUUUUGCGCAAUGGACGAGAGUCUGACGCAGCAACGCCGCGUGGGUGAUGAAGGUCUUC